This 457-nucleotide long non-coding RNA is filed under the name Homo sapiens (human). RNAcentral describes it as "non-protein coding lnc-RXRG-1:9". Lineage: Eukaryota; Metazoa; Chordata; Mammalia; Primates; Hominidae. The record is from RNAcentral.
UGAUAGCAAGUGCUAGGGUUACAAAGUAUUGCUUUUUGGGGAACCCAUGGUUGUUGGGGAGAAACCAGAAGAUCAGUCAUCACAGUGCGGCAAGAUCAGACUUGUGGUUUGUUCAGGUUCUGGGAGCCGUCACUGCAGUGAGAAUGGGACCCUGGUUGAAGGAACCUGUUGUUCUUAUGGUGGAGGGCAGAAACCCAAGAGGGCUGGAGCCAAUCCAUCCCUGUUUUCUUUAGACGCUGACUCCUGCUGUCUACCAGAUCCUCGUGGUACAAUGACUGGUGUAGACUGGCUUGUUGAAGUCACUCUCUGGAUCUGAGCAACGCUGGCUGAGCCGUGAUGAAGUAUUCCUAUCCAUCCACUAUGCUUCACAGUGGGAAUCUCUCACUGUUCAUCACCGCUGCCCUAGCAGCCGCAGAAUCGCUUAGUUUGUAUUUUAUCUGUACUAUGAGUUCCCCAC